Molecule: long non-coding RNA, 432 nt
Organism: Cebus imitator (Panamanian white-faced capuchin)
Lineage: Eukaryota; Metazoa; Chordata; Mammalia; Primates; Cebidae
Exons: 3
Source: RefSeq, a predicted model, not a curated record
GUUCUAACCCUGGAGGCAGAAAGAUCUUUCUAAAGUAAAAAUGAGAACCUCACACUCUUGCUGAAAAUCCUGCAAUGCUGCCCAUCAUCCCAAGCUUGUACGUUUUUAUGAAACAACUUGCCAUGCGGGAGGGAUUUACAUGCCAAGGAGCUGAGGGUGGUUGCUGGCCAACAGCCAGCAAGGAACUGAGAGCCUCAGUGAACUGGAUCCUGCCAACCAUCAUAAACCCAGAGACUUAGCAGACAGACCCCCAGUUGGCUGGACGUCGAGAGGAACUCAUCAGUGGAGGAGCACAUGGGCAUGCCAGCAGGCCAUCAGGCCAUCAACGGUGGAAGGAGGUGAAGUUUGGCCUGGGCAGUCGGAAGAGAGCCCAAGUGGCUGAGUGGCCUGACUCCAGGGGAAAAUCAACUCCCUUCUGGCUCCCCGAUCUGC